GACGAGGCACUACGGUGCUGAAGCAACAAAUGCCCUGCUUCCAGGAAAAGCCUCUAAGCAUCAGGUAACACGAAAUCGUACCCCAAACCGACACAGGUGGUCAGGUAGAGAAUACCAAGGCGCUUGAGAGAACUCGGGUGAAGGAACUAGGCAAAAUGGUGCCGUAACUUCGGGAGAAGGCACGCUGACACGUAGGUGAAGUGAUUUACUCAUGGAGCUGAAGUCAGUCGAAGAUACCAGCUGGCUGCAACUGUUUAUUAAAAACACAGCACUGUGCAAACACGAAAGUGGACGUAUACGGUGUGACGCCUGCCCGGUGCCGGAAGGUUAAUUGAUGGGGUCAGCGCAAGCGAAGCUCCUGAUCGAAGCCCCGGUAAACGGCGGCCGUAACUAUAACGGUCCUAAGGUAGCGAAAUUCCUUGUCGGGUAAGUUCCGACCUGCACGAAUGGCGUAAUGAUGGCCAGGCUGUCUCCACCCGAGACUCAGUGAAAUUGAACUCGCUGUGAAGAUGCAGUGUACCCGCGGCAAGACGGAAAGACCCCGUGAACCUUUACUAUAGCUUGACACUGAACAUUGAGCCUUGAUGUGUAGGAUAGGUGGGAGGCUUUGAAGUGUGGACGCCAGUCUGCAUGGAGCCGACCUUGAAAUACCACCCUUUAAUGUUUGAUGUUCUAACGUGGACCCGUAAUCCGGGUUGCGGACAGUGUCUGGUGGGUAGUUUGACUGGGGCGGUCUCCUCCUAAAGAGUAACGGAGGAGCACGAAGGUUGGCUAAUCCUGGUCGGACAUCAGGAGGUUAGUGCAAUGGCAUAAGCCAGCUUGACUGCGAGCGUGACGGCGCGAGCAGGUGCGAAAGCAGGUCAUAGUGAUCCGGUGGUUCUGAAUGGAAGGGCCAUCGCUCAACGGAUAAAAGGUACUCCGGGGAUAACAGGCUGAUACCGCCCAAGAGUUCAUAUCGACGGCGGUGUUUGGCACCUCGAUGUCGGCUCAUCACAUCCUGGGGCUGAAGUAGGUCCCAAGGGUAUGGCUGUUCGCCAUUUAAAGUGGUACGCGAGCUGGGUUUAGAACGUCGUGAGACAGUUCGGUCCCUAUCUGCCGUGGGCGCUGGAGAACUGAGGGGGGCUGCUCCUAGUACGAGAGGACCGGAGUGGACGCAUCACUGGUGUUCGGGUUGUCAUGCCAAUGGCACUGCCCGGUAGCUAAAUGCGGAAGAGAUAAGUGCUGAAAGCAUCUAAGCACGAAACUUGCCCCGAGAUGAGUUCUCCCUGAGACUUAGAGUC
Molecule: ribosomal RNA, 1280 nt
Filed under: Salmonella enterica
Lineage: Bacteria; Pseudomonadati; Pseudomonadota; Gammaproteobacteria; Enterobacterales; Enterobacteriaceae
Description: partial 23S ribosomal RNA
Rfam family: Bacterial large subunit ribosomal RNA
Source: RNAcentral